CUUUCAUCCACUUUGGUGAACGACAUGCCAGUGUUGGCCAGAGAUGACACAGCAUUGGAGAGUGUGCUCGCCCUACAAAAAAAUUCAGGGAGAGAUAUAUUGGGCUUCUCAAAAUGCAUCCUUUAGAAGUCAAUCAAUUGUAUUCAGUUGUGAGCGAGACGCAUGAAUGGCCCACCUGCUGGCGGCGGUGGAGUCCUUCACCUUCUUUCCUUCUAAUGAAGCCAAGUGUUGCUCCAGGGCAUCCAAAAGACUGCUGGGGGCCUGAGAGGAACCACAAACAUUUACUUAACCCCGACCAAUUCCAAAAAACAACAGGUCAGGUAUGUCCCCGCGGUCUAUUCCCACCUGCUGUGAGGCGAGAGGACAAAUGUGUUACACAGCACUCUUUUAAUGAAGUCCCCUGCUAACCAGAAAUGACACAUGAGAAUCUCACCUCUGCCACUUUGAGGAACUCCGAGAUCCGGGUCAUUCGGGUGAGGAAUUUCUUGUAAAUGUCCAACCCUUCUUUGCACUGAACUUUUUUCAUAUCAAAGUACUUUUCUGUGAGAGGAUGAUGAAGCAAUGUGUGUUACCAGUCAGCAUCAUACCGUUAUCUGCAUGUGUAAGAAUUCAAGUGCCCUGUUAUGCUAUUUUAAUAGUUCCUAUUUGUUUUUUGAUGCCUCCUAAAAUAUGCAGGGUUCCCAUUCU
RNAcentral lists this long non-coding RNA (687 nucleotides) under Danio rerio (zebrafish). Its description in RNAcentral is "si:ch211-229d2.7 (ENSDARG00000097273.2)". The record is from RNAcentral. Lineage: Eukaryota; Metazoa; Chordata; Actinopteri; Cypriniformes; Danionidae.